Molecule: ribosomal RNA, 270 nt
Filed under: uncultured bacterium
Lineage: Bacteria
Description: partial 16S ribosomal RNA
Rfam family: Bacterial small subunit ribosomal RNA
Source: RNAcentral
AUUGAACGCUGGCGGCGUGCCUAACACAUGCAAGUCGAGCGGCAGCGCGGGAGCAAUCCUGGCGGCGAGCGGCGGACGGGUGAGCAAUGCUUGGGAAUCUGCCCAUCAGUGGGGGACAACCCGGGGAAACUCGGGCUACUACCGCAUACGUUCUUCGGAAGAAAGCAGGGGAUCGCAAGACCUUGCGCUGAUGGAUGAGCCCAAGCCGGAUUAGCUAGUUGGUGAGGUAAUGGCUCACCAAGGCGACGAUCCGUAGCUGGUCUGAGAGGA